This 800-nucleotide ribosomal RNA is filed under the name uncultured bacterium. Its description in RNAcentral is "bacterial SSU rRNA". It matches the Rfam family "Bacterial small subunit ribosomal RNA", at positions 8 to 808 of the family's 1533-position model. The record is from RNAcentral.
AGAGUUUGAUCCUGGCUCAGGAUGAACGCUGGCGGCGUGCUUAACACAUGCAAGUCGAACGAAGCAUUUUGGAAGAAGUCUUCGGACGGAUUUUGGGAUGACUGAGUGGCGGACGGGUGAGUAACGCGUGGGCAACCUGCCCUGUACAGGGGGAUAACAGCCGGAAACGGCUGCUAAUACCGCAUAAGCGCACGAAACCGCAUGGUUUUGUGUGAAAAACUCCGGUGGUACAGGAUGGGCCCGCGUCUGAUUAGGCAGUUGGCGGGGUGACGGCCCACCAAACCGACGAUCAGUAGCCGACCUGAGAGGGUGACCGGCUACAUUGGGACUGAGACACGGCCCAAACUCCUACGGGAGGCAGCAGUGGGGAAUAUUGCACAAUGGGCGCAAGCCUGAUGCAGCGACGCCGCGUGAGCGAAGAAGUAUUUCGGUAUGUAAAGCUCUAUCAGCAGGGAAGAAAACGACGGUACCUGCACAAGAAGCUCCGGCUAAAUACGUGCCAGCAGCCGCGGUAAUACGUAUGGAGCAAGCGUUAUCCGGAAUUACUGGGUGUAAAGGGAGCGUAGACGGCAUGGCAAGUCUGGUGUGAAAGACCGGGGCUCAACCCCGGGCCUGCAUUGGAAACUGCCAAGCUUGAGUGCCGGAGAGGUAAGCGGAAUUCCUAGUGUAGCGGUGAAAUGCGUAGAUAUUAGGAGGAACACCAGUGGCGAAGGCGGCUUACUGGACGGUAACUGACGUUGAGGCUCGAAGGCGUGGGGAGCAAACAGGAUUAGAUACCCUGGUAGUCCACGCAGUAAACG